GAUGAACGCUGGCGGCGUGCCUAAUACAUGCAAGUCGAGCGAACAGAUGAGGAGCUUGCUCCUCUGACGUUAGCGGCGGACGGGUGAGUAACACGUGGAUAACCUACCUAUAAGACUGGGAUAACUUCGGGAAACCGGAGCUAAUACCGGAUAAUAUAUUGAACCGCAUGGUUCAAUAGUGAAAUACGGUUUUGCUGUCACUUAUAGAUGGAUCCGCGCCGCAUUAGCUAGUUGGUAAGGUAACGGCUUACCAAGGCAACGAUGCGUAGCCGACCUGAGAGGGUGAUCGGCCACACUGGAACUGAGACACGGUCCAGACUCCUACGGGAGGCAGCAGUAGGGAAUCUUCCGCAAUGGGCGAAAGCUUGACGGAGCAACGCCGCGUGAGUGAUGAAGGUCUUCGGAUCGUAAAACUCUGUUAUUAGGGAAGAACAAAUGUGUAAGUAACUAUGCACGUCUUGACGGUACCUAAUCAGAAAGCCACGGCUAACUACGUG
RNAcentral lists this ribosomal RNA (497 nucleotides) under uncultured bacterium. RNAcentral describes it as "partial 16S ribosomal RNA". It matches the Rfam family "Bacterial small subunit ribosomal RNA", at positions 28 to 507 of the family's 1533-position model. The record is from RNAcentral.